AUAAACUGGGGAGUGAAGAUAGAGAACAUAUCAAGGGAGGCCAACCGGAUCACUGAUUUUAUCGCCAAACUAAUGAAGAACCAGUCGGAGGAUACUAACUUUCUGCGUAAUUACCCUAAGGAAGCUGAGAGAUUAUUCUAGCUGAUAAAACUGGCACCUAAAAGGCCCAUUCACCCGUAUUCAACCAAAAAAAAAUCAAGUUACCGCGUAAGCAUGAAAGAAAAAGGAAUUUAGAGAAACUACUAUCCAUAAAGACGGUUCGUUUUUCCGAAGAGUUGAAUUGAACCCAAAGAAAGAUAUGGAGUGUGUUCUUUGUUGGGUUGGUUUUUGGAGUGCUAGCAAUUGUGAGUCUGCAAGUUGUGGGAUUCUUUUUUGUGUUAAAUCGAUUGAAUCGAAGGAUCAAACGAGAAUCUCUUGCUGCAUCGAAUCCCCAGUCCCAACCUUCCUCCGAUUUCACUUACAACAAGCAGGUAUGGAUUCCCCCGUCUUUCUUUCAUCUUUUUUUUUUGCUUAGAUUUGAACUUGCUUGCAUCGUGUUGUGUUAGGGGACUGUUUGGGUUCUUGAAUCAGAAAAAGCUCCGGCACCAUGAGAGCAGAAGUGAAAAAAGGACUCGCCCUUGGAAUUUUCUCCUACUCGAAAGCAUGCUAAAAUCCUGGAAAACAACUUAGUUUUCAUACAUUCUGAUUCUUCCCGCACUACCAUUCCCUUUAAGGGCUGCGUCAUAGAGGCUAUUUCCGCUACCAAUUUAGCCUCAAGAAAAUGGUGUUAUGCCCUUUGCUUUUACUCUUCUUUCUCACUUCAAUGCUCAUUGUUCAUGUAUUUUCGACAAUGAUUCUUACUUAAGUCUCAACUCUCAAGCUUAUCUGUCCCAUCCUUUUGCUUCAAGUUGUAAGUUAAAGUUUUGGUUUUCAAUCAAGCUUUUUUUGGCAUAACAAUGUUGACAUUGUUAAGAGUUAAGAAUAUAGGUGUCUGACUUCAUUUGUCGCCUUUGAAUCAUAAAAUACCGUGCUGUUAUGAUAUAGCUUAAUCAGUUGUUCUAAGUUAUGUGCACUUUCAAAAUAUUUAACUUUGCUUCAUUCGUUUGCGUUGUAUGAAUGGUUUGAUAGGGCCACGAGAUUUCCAAUAAAAGUGGAAAACAAAUCUUCAUCCAUGUACAUUGGAAGUAAAACCAUUUACCUUAAUCUGGAGACUUCUUGGGAGAAGGAGUCAUGGUGCAAAGCUCUUCGUCUUGCUUCGUGCAAGGAUAAAGAAAAGCUGAGCUGAUUUGCUAAGUUGAAUGAAGACUUCCAUGCUUACUUGGCAUCUUUAAAUGUUGGAUGUCUGUCAUUUAUGAAACCUUAUUUAGGUUUCAGUGCUGAGCCAAUGGAUAAUGGAGGUAAGUUUGAUGGUUCUUCAUCAAAAAGUUAAAUUAUUUUGGAGAAAAAUUUCCAAAUUAAAGCCUGGUAUGGAAAAUAAGGGAAUUUGGACAUCGCAAACUGCCCGUGAAGAACGGCAACCAUUCCAAGAUUAAGUGACAAAGAAAGUACCAAACAGUUCAACCGAAGAAAAUAUGGCAUUUCCAUUACCGCAAGGUUUUCCUCGUUCAGUUAGUCAAAGUGCUUCUGUUGCUUCUGAUGCUGAUUCGGAACAAGACAAAUUUAGUUUUGAUGAAGGGACACUUUGCUGGAACUUGUUAAUUUCUCGAAUCUUUUUUGAUAUGAAAGGAAAUUCAGGGUUGAAAAGUUCUAUUCAAGCACGUAUUCAGAGAACAUUGUCCAAUAUUAGGACCCCUAGUUACAUAGGGGAAGUCAUUUGAACUGAUUUAGACAUUGGAAAUCUCCCACCUUAUAUCCAUGCAAUGAGGAUUCUUCCUUCAGACAUGAAUGAGGUAUGUGCAUUUGAAGUUGAUGCUGAAUAUUCUGGUGGAAUUCUGUUAGAUGUUGAGACCAGACUUGAAGUUAGUGACCAAGAUUUUAAAAAUGGCCUGGUUGCUCAAAUUCAGAAACAAAUUCUGUUGAAAAUGUCUCUUCAGACCUUCUUGAAGGCUUUGAGCAUUUUGGAAAGCAUUUGAAUCUUCCUGAAGAGGAUGAGGUCGACCCUAAAGUUGAUGGUCUAAAAGGCAGUAGAGCUACACCAACAACAAGUUAUGCAUCCCAAUGGAAGUAUGUUGUAAAUUCCGUAGCCAAACAGGUUUCACAGGUGCCUUUGUCUUUGUCGAUAAGGGUUGCAUCCCUUCGAGGAACGCUGCGGUUAUAUAUAAAGCCAACCCCUUCCGAUCAGUUAUAGUUUAGCUUCACGUCCAUGCCUGAUAUAGAAUUUGUCCUCGAGUCUUCUAUUAGGGAACACAAGAUAAAUAGUGGACAUAUUGCUUUAUUCUUGAUCAGUCGGUUUAAGGCAGCUAUACGUGAAAGUGCUUCCAAACUGUGAAAGUACAUGCAUUCCUUGGAUGUUAACAGAGAAAUAUGAUUGGGUCCCAAGGGAAGUUGCCCCAUUUAUAUGGCUUAAUCUAGAGGCACCAGUCACCAGUCGUCGAGUCACAGAGUCUGAAGCAUGGUCAUCAAGAAGCUCUUCAGCAAAGAGUAGGUCCUUGCAAGAUCUAAGAACUCCCCUUCUUGAAACUGAUGAACCACAUGAAAUGCAUCAGCAGAAUAUAGAGGAAAGUUCAGAUUCUGUGUCAGUAUCUAGGUCUCUGACUGAGUCUGAAAGGCAGAGUGAUGUAGGUGAUGACAAUGAUUCAAGGCCAAAGAAGACGGGGAGGAGGGCAAGGGUGAUGGAUUUGACAAAGAAAAUGGGAGAGAGGUUCGAAGAGAAGAAGCGUCACAUUGAAGAAAGGGGUAGGCAUAUUGUUGAGAAAAUGAGAGGACCCUGAGACCAAUUGAAACGCGAACUCACGGCAUUCUUUCUUUGAUCCUGACAAUUACUAUUGUCAUU
Long non-coding RNA from Hibiscus syriacus, 2911 nucleotides. RefSeq lists it as uncharacterized. The record is from RefSeq and is a predicted model, not a curated record. The transcript is spliced from 5 exons. NCBI's taxonomy places the organism in Eukaryota, Viridiplantae, Streptophyta, Magnoliopsida, Malvales, Malvaceae.